CCUACGGGAGGCAGCAGUGAGGAAUAUUGGUCAAUGGGCGCGAGCCUGAACCAGCCAAGUAGCGUGAAGGAUGACUGCCCUUCGGGUUGUAAACUUCUUUUAUAAAGGAAUAAAGUGAGGCACGUGUGCCUUUUUGUAUGUACUUUAUGAAUAAGGAUCGGCUAACUCCGUGCCAGCAGCCGCGGUAAUACGGGGGGUACGAGCGUUAUCCGGAUUUUUUGGGUUUAAAGGGAGCGUAGAGUGGUUGUUAAGUCAGUUGUGAAAGUUUGCGGCUCAACCGUAACAUUGCAGUUGAUACUGGCAGUCUUGAGUACAGUUGAGGUAGGCGGAAUUCGUGGUGUAGCGGUGAAAUGCUUAGAUAUCACGAAGAACUCCGAUUGCGAAGGCAGCUUACUAAACUGCCACUGACAUUGAUGCUCGAAAGUGUGGGUAUCAAACAGGAUUAGAUACCCGUGUAGUC
RNAcentral lists this ribosomal RNA (460 nucleotides) under uncultured bacterium. RNAcentral's name for it is "partial 16S ribosomal RNA". It matches the Rfam family "Bacterial small subunit ribosomal RNA", at positions 338 to 795 of the family's 1533-position model. The record is from RNAcentral.